This 73-nucleotide transfer RNA is filed under the name Stegodyphus mimosarum. It matches the Rfam family "tRNA". From Rfam's summary of the family: Transfer RNA (tRNA) molecules are approximately 80 nucleotides in length. Their secondary structure includes four short double-helical elements and three loops (D, anti-codon, and T loops). Further hydrogen bonds mediate the characteristic L-shaped molecular structure. tRNAs have two regions of fundamental functional importance: the anti-codon, which is responsible for specific mRNA codon recognition, and the 3' end, to which the tRNAs corresponding amino acid is attached (by aminoacyl-tRNA synthetases). tRNAs cope with the degeneracy of the genetic code in two manners: having more than one tRNA (with a specific anti-codon) for a particular amino acid; and 'wobble' base-pairing, i.e. permitting non-standard base-pairing at the 3rd anti-codon position. The record is from Rfam by way of RNAcentral. Lineage: Eukaryota; Metazoa; Arthropoda; Arachnida; Araneae; Eresidae.
GCCUUCGUGGUGUAGUGGUCAGCACGCUGGGCGCGUAUUCCAGAGGUCUGUGGUUCGAGUCCCGGCGAGGGCA